CCUACGGGAGGCAGCAGUGAGGAAUAUUGGUCAAUGGGCGCGAGCCUGAACCAGCGACGCCGCGUGAGGGAGGACGGCCCUACGGGUUGUAAACUCUUUUUGCCGGGGAGCAACGGGCGUUACGUGUGUCGCCACUGACAGUACCCGCAGAAAAAGCAUCGGCUAACUCCGUUCCAGCAGCCGCGGUAUUACGGGGGAUGCGAGCGUUCUCGGGCUUUAUUGGGUUAAAGGGGUGCGUGGGCGGAGCGUAAGGUCAGUGGGAAAAUUGAGGGGCUAAACCCCUUCCCGCCGUUGAAACUGGCGAGCUUGAGUGGAGGAGAGGUAAGCGGAAUUCGUGGUGUAGCGGUGAAAUGCGUAGAUAUCACGCAGAACACCAGUUGCGAAGGCAGCAUGCCGGAUUGCGACUGACGCUGAGGCACGAAAGCGUGGGGAUCAAACAGGAUUAGAUACCCCAGUAGUC
RNAcentral lists this ribosomal RNA (460 nucleotides) under uncultured bacterium. RNAcentral describes it as "partial 16S ribosomal RNA". It matches the Rfam family "Bacterial small subunit ribosomal RNA", at positions 338 to 795 of the family's 1533-position model. The record is from RNAcentral.